UUUAUCACCCAAUGGAAUCGGAACACAAUCAUUCUUACAUCCGUAAUAGAACAAGGUAGCUCAAGUGUUGUAAUAGCCUAUCUCUAAAGUUCUAUCAAAUCUUCAAAAUUGUCGGACCCGAAGAGCCGCUGAGAAGACCAUCAUCAUGGGUGAACCACAGCAGGUUAGCGCCCUGCCUCCUCCACCAAUGCAGUAUAUCAAAGAGUACACGGACGAAAAUGUCAGCAAGGGUUUUGCUCCCAAACCACCACCACCCAUCAGAGACAGCUACAUGAUGUUUGGCAACCAGUUUCAGUGCGACGACCUGAUCAUUCGGCCUCUAGAGAGCCAAGGCAUCGAGAGGCUUCAUCCUGUGCAAUUUGACCACAAACGUGAGCUCAAGAAGCUAAAUAUGUCCAUCCUGGUGAACUUUCUGGACCUUCUGGACAUCCUCAUCAAGAGCCCUGGCAGUAUAAAGCGAGAAGAAAAGCUGGAGGACCUGAAACUUUUGUUUGUUCACAUGCACCACCUGAUCAAUGAAUACAGGCCACAUCAAGCCCGGGAGACUUUGCGAGUGAUGAUGGAAGUUCAGAAACGACAGAGACUGGAUACAGCAGAGAGGUUCCAAAAGCACCUGGAGCGGGUAGUGGAGUUGAUCCAGGGGUGCCUUGCCUCCUUGCCCGAUGACUUACCGCAGUUGGAGGGCACCAACAUUGCUGGGGAUGGAGCAAGGACUCUGCUUGUCGGGAGUGGUGUCGGGCCUUCUGUGCUGCCUCCAAGGCUGAAAACGGAACCCAUGGAUGUAGAGGAAGCAGCGGCUGCAAGUUGUUUGGCGGCAGGUCACCAGAACAAGAUUACGCCUACCAUAAAAAAGGACAAAAUGUGGGACAAAGAUGCCGCCAUGUGCAGUAUCAUUGACAAAAUUGCCUAGUAUUCUCUCACAAUACUGCAAAUGAUUUAAAUUUAGUGAUUUAAAUGUAGCAUUCUCUCACAAUACUGCAAAUGAUUUAAAUGUAUUACUGUGCUAUAAUCACCCAUUUGGUUUAAGUUCAGUUUAUUUAAAAGCUUUGUGUGUAUUGUAUUGUGGCCUCGGGAGAGACAAUAAUCCAUCCAUUGCAUUUGCAAAUGUGUGAAGGACUGGAGAGGAAUCAACCUGAAAAUUCAAUAUCUAAUAAAAAUAUGUUCAGCUAAAAGAGAAAUGUUGUCUUAACUGUCAUUAUCACACAGAAUAUGGUAAUGGUUUAUGCAGUCUGGGCUCUUUUAUUCUGCAAAGAAUCUUAAUGGAGAUAUAUCUAUAUUAGAGAUGAUCCAUCUGCCUCAUAGGUGUGGCAAUAUCAAGAUGCUGAUUAGACUGCUUAUGAUUUUUGUAUAGAUGCGCUGUAUCCUUCAAAAAGCAUGCUCAAUGGGUAACACGUCCGGUUAGUAAUCUGGCCACUCAACAAAUAGGAUUGUUUUCGGCGUCCACAAUUUGGUACGGAUUUUUGCAAUAUGGGACUAUGCAACAUGAGGUGAUGGUUGUGAAUGAAUAGCACAACACUGGAUUUUAGGUUCUCACCGAAUCGAUGAAAUUCAUGUGUGUUCAUUGUUCCAUAACAGAGGUGUGUCUAUUGUGUAACCCCGUGGCCAACAAGGGCCGCUUGAUUUACAAUAAUCGUGUCAGCAAAUCACUUACCCAUGCGUCAUGCACAUUUCUGCCCAGUACAGUGAAGAGCAGUGUAGAUCAUGGAAGAGGACAUCUCUCCAAAGUCCUACGUUUGCUUUAAAUUUUGUGUUUGCAGUUGUGUCAAGUGACACGUGCGUCAUUCUCAGGAGGGAUUGUGUGUGUGUGUGUUUUUGGCAGUCCACCGGACAAAAGAAAAGAUAAACCACACAUUAUGACUACAAUAGGACUUGGGAUAGGAAUCAUUUGAGCUUUUUUUCGUUUUUCUUUAAAUUCACUGUCAGUCAUUAGAAAUAUUUGCUACACUUUUUGAACUUGUGUAAUAGUACCCAAUGUCCUCCUGACAUGUUUAUACAGUAAUGGUUUGACAAUAAGACCAGUUCCACCUGAUACGCAACAACUUUUGCAACGUUUUGUAUAACUUCUUCAAGCUUGGCCUUGAAGUAGUUUCACUAUUAACGCUUAGGCCUAACCUAUUCGGUAUUAUUAUUAUUAAUCAGGUUUUGAUGUUGGGUUUGUCACUCCGCCCCCUCGCGGAUAUCUAGACUUGGGAAUUCCAGCCACUGUGUCGUGCGCGCAACACGUUAUGUAUGCAGUUAAAAGGAAUAGCCUUUCACCAGAAUUGACAGAGCGCAAGCGACUGUGAUCAUAUUUGUCCUGAGGUGCUUGGUGUUCCAACAAAUUUACCUCCGAGUCAUGUUAUGAAACUCAGCGACGAUGGGUUUCACAACAGGGCUGACGGCAAGCUGCUUAGCCAAUCAGCAGCUUCGCUGCCACGUCACGUGGUCUUUAUUUAUGUAACGUAAUGGUGUAACACAGUAACCUGGAAAUAUACCCGUGCAUAGUAUUCAGCAAAACAGGGCAAUCCGCGGACAGACGCGCCCACGAAAAUCUUUAACAUAUUCCCGUUGGGCUUUGUCGAGUCGUUGGUUGCGUUUGGAUCGGUGAGAGAAGCGACUACUAACUCAAAAGAGCCAGCUUUUUUUUUCUCUACCUGGUGGAAAGG
Syngnathus acus (greater pipefish) is the source of this 2645-nucleotide RNA transcript. It is a transcript of the gene named mediator complex subunit 7, with no coding region annotated. The transcript is spliced from 3 exons. NCBI's taxonomy places the organism in Eukaryota, Metazoa, Chordata, Actinopteri, Syngnathiformes, Syngnathidae. The record is from RefSeq and is a predicted model, not a curated record.